AGUAAAAUCACUCUCCUUACAUUAUAAAUAAAAGUACAUAAUAGUAAAAAAAUAUUAUAAAACACAAUAGUAAUUUUUCAUUAAUAUAUCAACUAUAAUUUACACCAAUGAUGUAAAUUAUUUUAAACAUAACAUUUUUCAUCACAACUUUUUAUUCUUUAACUAUAUAUCAUAUCUUUAUGUUGAAGAAGUCAUUCUUCUUUCAACUCUUCCACUUCUACUUCUGCUCAAACCAGACAAUAGGUGAGUAUGCUUCAAGCAAUGAAAAUAAAAGCUUAGAUGGAAAACGUUGUCGUAUUUAUUUUAAUUCGAUAUUAUUGCGUAUUUAUAAUAAUAUAUAUUUUUUUAAAAAGGAUUCUGACAACAACAUUCCAUUUCAAAAUCACAUUCACCAUUUCGAAACCCCUGCAGAAUGCAUCUUCUUCCACAAUCUGCACAAUCCCCAAAAAUGCAUUUUAUUUUUCUAUUAUCGUCUUGGGUUGUUGCUCCUGCUACAAAAAAAAAAACUCUCAAACUCAAAACUCCAUUUGAUAUUUUAACAAUGAUGUACAAAAUAGAAUUCAAGGGAGGAAAGUUCUUGUGUUUCUUACCAGAAGAUAGGAGCAAUGCAAUGCAUAAAAGUCCCAAGAGAAAAAGCUUGCAAAUGUGCAUUGCCAUUUUUUCUGAAGAUUUAUUCUUUCAACUCUAUUAUUAUCUUUGGUUAUCGCAUUAUGCAUAGCAAACUUCAAGUGCUUUAUAUAG
RNAcentral lists this long non-coding RNA (741 nucleotides) under Lathyrus oleraceus (garden pea). Its description in RNAcentral is "Pisum sativum (pea) long non-coding RNA (PSAT_LNC038263)". Lineage: Eukaryota; Viridiplantae; Streptophyta; Magnoliopsida; Fabales; Fabaceae. The record is from RNAcentral.